RNAcentral lists this ribosomal RNA (74 nucleotides) under Escherichia coli. RNAcentral's name for it is "partial 16S ribosomal RNA". The stretch from base 1 to 61 matches the Rfam family "Bacterial small subunit ribosomal RNA", at positions 1473 to 1533 of the family's 1533-position model. Lineage: Bacteria; Pseudomonadati; Pseudomonadota; Gammaproteobacteria; Enterobacterales; Enterobacteriaceae. The record is from RNAcentral.
GACUGGGGUGAAGUCGUAACAAGGUAACCGUAGGGGAACCUGCGGUUGGAUCACCUCCUUACCUUAAAGAAGCG